This 626-nucleotide ribosomal RNA is filed under the name uncultured Bacteroidota bacterium. RNAcentral describes it as "bacterial SSU rRNA". It matches the Rfam family "Bacterial small subunit ribosomal RNA", at positions 63 to 691 of the family's 1533-position model. Lineage: Bacteria; Pseudomonadati; Bacteroidota. The record is from RNAcentral.
CGUGGGGUAUGGUUUUCGGACCUAGAGACCGGCGCACGGGUGCGUAACGCGUAUGCAAUCUACCUUUUACAGAGGGAUAGCCCAGAGAAAUUUGGAUUAAUACCUCAUAGUAUUAUUGAAUGGCAUCAUUUAAUAAUUAAAGUCACAACGGUAAAAGAUGAGCAUGCGUCCCAUUAGCUUGUUGGUAAGGUAACGGCUUACCAAGGCAACGAUGGGUAGGGGUCCUGAGAGGGAGAUCCCCCACACUGGUACUGAGACACGGACCAGACUCCUACGGGAGGCAGCAGUGAGGAAUAUUGGUCAAUGGGCGCAAGCCUGAACCAGCCAUGCCGCGUGCAGGAUGAAGCAUCUAUGGUGUGUAAACUGCUUUUGUACGAGAAGAAACACUCCUACGUGUAGGAGCUUGACGGUAUCGUAAGAAUAAGGACCGGCUAACUCCGUGCCAGCAGCCGCGGUAAUACGGAGGGUCCAAGCGUUAUCCGGAAUCAUUGGGUUUAAAGGGUCCGUAGGCGGUUUUGUAAGUCAGUGGUGAAAGCCCAUCGCUCAACGGUGGAACGGCCAUUGAUACUGCAAGACUUGAAUUAUUAGGAAGUAACUAGAAUAUGUAGUGUAGCGGUGAAAUGCUU